Molecule: long non-coding RNA, 918 nt
Organism: Juglans microcarpa x Juglans regia
Lineage: Eukaryota; Viridiplantae; Streptophyta; Magnoliopsida; Fagales; Juglandaceae
Exons: 3
Source: RefSeq, a predicted model, not a curated record
GUUAUGUGCAUUAUUGCCUUAAAAAUGUUUUGACAAAAUUGUUGCAAUAUUUAGCCUUCCUCACAGCCCUUUGUUAUUUCCUCUUAAAUAUAUAUUAAUUUUACCUUUAAGCUUCCAUGACAAUAAAGGACUCGAGAAUAACACUGUUGACUUGAACAAGAAAAGGAAAUUAAAGGCAGGGCAAUCGGAUUUGCCUAUACCAAAGCAUAAAUGCUGGGAUCGCAGCUUUGCUUCUGAACCGGUCUUUGUGUUUGAGAAAAAUCCUGAGGUUGAAAGCAUAUUUCCAAAAAUAAUAACUGGGAAAACAGAAGGAGCAGCGAUGGAUUACGGGGCAGAACCUGAAUCAGGGAAAGACAGCAAUAGUUUUGGUGGAGAUUCCGACUCUACAACGUCUUCAUGUGGUGAAGCUAAAGUCCAAUUAGAAAAGACAAACUUGCAUUUCUGAGUGGAGAGCAUCCUAGCCAUCAUGAUGAAUUACAAGCAUUUCAGACUCUUGAGGAGCACCUCGUAGAUUUGUGUGAUCAAGUAGAUUACACUAGCUCUGGAUAUGUAAAUGACUGCAUUGAACAGCCUACAGAUAACGAACUUGAAGAUAUUCUCUACUCCCAUGGGGUUAACCCAACAAAUAUGUACGUUCUUUCAUCCGGAAGGUGAACUGUAGGCCAAGAUGCUCAACCAGGCACUAGGAAACAAACCAUUGAUCAAGAAUUCGAGCAGUUCUUUUCCAAGCUUAUGCUGUAGCAAUAGUUUAACUGAAAGUGUGUAUAUUUCUAAAUAUUUUUGUUGCAUAUGCAUGUGAGUCUUAUGAUUCUUAUAAUGAAGAUCAUGUAAAACAGCUUGUUAUUUGUAAUCAUCCCAUUCCAUCCUCUGCGAAGCAGAAUGUGAGGCUAACUUGAUAGACCCCAAAGCUUUCGGAAA